GUUGGGUUUGUCAGGGUUUCUGCAUUGCAGGGGGUUGGACUAAAUGAUCCUUUGAGUCCCUCCAACUCUACUGUUCUGUGAUUCUAAGUAUGUCUAACAAUGUACACCAAAGUAAAUGUGUAUUUCCUGUGAGCAUUUCUUGGUAACAACUUUCAUUUAUUUCACUGAAUAUAUUCCAAGAAAGAGUUGUAAAGGGGGGGGGGUACAUAUUCUAGGAAGGAGAAAUGAACUGCUGUGAGAAUACAUAAUAAAUUUUAAGAAGUGAAUUUUGAUAAUAUCUAAAAUUAUCUAGAGAAAUAAUAAAAACCAUUCCUGUGCCUAUUUAUUCCGGCAUGUCCUACUUCAGGAUGAUUUUCACUCUUAAAAAGGUGGGCACAAGAUUACAGCUUAAAGUUGUGAUCUCAUGCAUGUUACUUAGGAGUAAGUUCCCUUUUACUCAGGGGAUGUAUAUAGUUGUAUGCCACCCCAGUCUCCAAGCAGUGCAAGACUCCAGGGUUACAGGUGCUUACCCAGGGUUUGGUUUCCUGAAAUGAGGGAUAGCAGGGGCUGUGGUGUCAUUAUGAUAGUUUAUUUACACAUAUAUACAACCUGAGUCUCAGUGGCGUAGCAAGGUCAGGUGGUACCCGGUGCAUAAUUUUUUGUGUCCCCCCCCCCCAUUGAAAUUGAAAUCUGUCAAAGAGAGCAGCGCAGGCAAUCGCAAUGCAGAUCCCACCUUCUCCCCCUCCCUCCUUCCACCCCCCAUCAAAGAAAGCCGCGCAGGCGGUGCUGUUGCUGGUCUUGAUCCCACCUUGCCUCAUCAGAGACAUGGCUCCUUCUCGCCUCCCCUCCUCUCCUCUCCACCCCUAAACCAGUGUGUGAUCUCUCUCUCUCUCCCCUCAAACCAGCUGGGCUGCGGAGCUCUCCUAUGCGCCGCUUCUCCUACCCCCCCACCCCCAAACCAGCGCACCUUGGCCCUUAAAUGAAAGGCAAAAGCAGGCGACCGCAGCCUCUCCCACUUCCAUGCCCUUCUUGGGAGUCCGCGUCAGCCCUAGAAGGACCAUGCCUUGCCCUGUGAGCAGCACAGCUUUGACCCUGGCCACACAGACACACACACACAGCACCUGAGCGAGGGCGGCACAUGGACAGGCAGGGAGAGCAGGGUCUGGCCGACCACGCAUGCGCCCGGCCACAGAGGUGGGAAGGGGCAUGUCGGCAUCGCGAUGCAACUCAACCCCGCUCGGUUAUACUACACAGGCAACGUCAAGUUCAGCCGGCAUUUUGUCACCCCCAUCAUGAUGUCACCCAGGGUGAUCUGCACCCUCACACCCCCUUCCUAUGCCCCUGCUGACUCUAUGAUUGAGGGCUCCAAAAGAGUCUUGCUUCUCUCAUAGCCACAGCCUUGGAUACCCACAGAAAUCAAUCAUUGCUCUCAAACGUAGCUUUCUCUCUCUCUCUCUCUCUCCAUCCUGCUGCUUUGCUUCUAGGUCACAUCACAAUUCCACUCUAAACUCGGGCCUCUUGUCUUUCUAACUGACUGGGGAGGGAGGCCCACCUGUUUGCCCUUUUCCACAGAGCCACUCCCUUUGUCCCCUUAGCGACUCAGAGGUCGAUUACCAGGCUGGCCUGGCGCUUGCAGCAAUUGAAUCUGUGCUGGAUCCAGAAAUUAGAAGAGGGGCUCUGGCAUACAACCUAACCCCCACCCCCCAACUCAUAAUAAUAUUUUGAGCAAGCUAAGUGUGGUCUAGAUGCUUCACACACAGCAUAAGAAUCAGAGUCCCUCUCCGUAGGGCCACAUGCAUCCCAUCUUUCAGGAGUUUUUUCACGUUUUAAAACAGGAAUUGAACCAAGGGUGGGGGAUCUGUGGCCCUCCAGAGGUUGCUGGGCUGCAACUCCCAUCACCCAUGAUCAUUGGGAAUUGGAGUCCCAAAAACAUUGGUGCAUGGGGCACAGGUUCAAAUCCCUGUGCCAAGCCAACAUUUGAUCCCAUCAUGGCUGAAGACAUGAAAACUCUCUUUAAAAUACAGACAUUCACGUUGAAAAGGAAAUCAGUGUUGAUUCAGAACAGGUAUCUGCCCUCAUUUGAAGUGGAAAGUUGCUGAGAAGCCAGACUCACUUCUGCAGUGGAAAAAAGAGCCACACUCAGCACUGUUUGUAGGCACAAACUUACCUAAGUAAGCCAUGAAAUAAGAUGCGUAGAAUACUUGUCACGUAUCAAGCUGUGUAUCCUUUGUGCAGAAAUGCCAGACUAAUUUGUAUGUAUAAAACUGUUUGCAAUUAUGCAGAUUGUUAAAAUAAGUUGUGUGUUUGUGAUGAAGGUUAGAAGCAGGGGACAGGAAAAGCUGCUUGCACCUGGGAACCUAUUUGGAGCAUGCUGAGUUUCAUGUGCCUGUUUUCUCUCAGCUUAUCUGUUAAUUUGCUUUGGUUUGUGGUAGCCAAGAGCUGACACAUGGUGAGAUUUGGAAAACCGCAGUAACCACACUAGCAAAGUCAAUGUUCUUUUUCAAACUGAGACAGAAGAACAAAGACUUCAAUGUGUAGGUUUUAUUUGCAUGUGUAACAGACUUCCAGGCAAGGUGCUUUAGAAAAUACCUUAUAUGUGUUUUCAGCACUUGGAAAGCAUCUCUCUUUUUCUGCAGAUUUUAAUAACUACAGCAAAACGUAUCACACUGAGCAGGUAAGUCCAGCUAAUUGCAAUAGGCACGAUAGAAACUAAAGUUCUUCAGGUAUUUUCUUGUUGCUGAAUAUAAUGCACUGAUAUACAUAUGCAGUGCUUUUUGCUAAAAAAAAUGUUUAGGGGUACUCUCUUUUUGACGCAAGAAAAUCACCAUUUUAUAAUUCAAUUCGGG
This 2825-nucleotide long non-coding RNA is filed under the name Podarcis lilfordi (Lilford's wall lizard). The record is from RNAcentral. Lineage: Eukaryota; Metazoa; Chordata; Lepidosauria; Squamata; Lacertidae.